CCACCGUCGGACACCUUUGCUCUCGGCCCCAUCGCGGUGAUCAGUAGCCACUGGACGUCGACGCGCAGAGAUUACACCGUGCCCUAGUCCUCCAUCUCGCUGGCACCCGAGUACCACUGCCGGUGUUCUCCCGUGCCUGAGCUUCAUCUCCUCUUCAGAGUAAGGUUGUUCGGAUGAGGUAACGACAAGUGAUUCCAGCAGUGAUUCGGCAGUGUAAUUUAAGGUUUCCAGCAGCAAUCAACCCUUGUUGGCAGUAACAAACCUUCAGUGGAUCAGUGAUUCCUGCUGUGAAUUUAGGUUUAUCGGUUUGGGAGAUUUGCAAUUUAAUCUUGCUCCGACUGUUGAUUUACAGUAGCAACGUUUCCAACCAGAUUUGGACAAGUUGUAGAGGACCUUGACGCGAGACGAGUAUCUCGGAGUCAGAUUGGACCUUUCUAUUUUCGGAGG
This is a long non-coding RNA of Zingiber officinale, 447 nucleotides long. RefSeq lists it as uncharacterized. The transcript has 3 exons. NCBI's taxonomy places the organism in Eukaryota, Viridiplantae, Streptophyta, Magnoliopsida, Zingiberales, Zingiberaceae. The record is from RefSeq and is a predicted model, not a curated record.